Molecule: unclassified non-coding RNA, 324 nt
Filed under: fungal sp.
Lineage: Eukaryota; Fungi
Also listed under: 1 other name
Description: partial internal transcribed spacer region
Rfam family: Eukaryotic small subunit ribosomal RNA (bases 1-46)
Source: RNAcentral
AAGUCGUAACAAGGUAACCGUAGGUGAACCUGCGGUUGGAUCAUUAACAAAUUGAUCAGGCUAGGCUUCACAGCUCUGCCGGUGUUUCUCUCGCGCAAGCGGGUAGGAAACCCAAACCCAUUUGUGAAAUGUAUAGAUGUCUCUGGCGGUGGGGUGUUGAAAAAGUUCUUGUAGCUUUCUCGAUCCCUGUCAGCAUGCUUUUUGGAUGCUGUGGACAAGCCGCCAAUUGCUUCUUAACAACGCUUUUGCUAAGUAUCAUUGUCUAACCUGUUUAUUCUGUAUAAUAUACAAAAACAACUUUUGGCAACGGAUCUCUUGGCUCUC